ACGGGGGGUGCGAGCGUUGUUCGGAAUUACUGGGCGUAAAGAGCGUGUAGGCGGCCGAACAAGUCAGAUGUGAAAUUCCUGGGCUCAACCCAGGACGUGCACGUGAUACUAACGGGCUUGAGUGCUGGAGAGGGGAGCGGAAUUCCUGGUGUAGAGGUAAAAUACGUAGAGAUCGGGAGGAACACGAGAGGCGGAGGAGGCUCACUAGACAGUUUCUGACGCUGAGAUAGGAGAGCGUGGGGAGCAUACAG
RNAcentral lists this ribosomal RNA (251 nucleotides) under uncultured prokaryote. Its description in RNAcentral is "partial 16S rRNA". It matches the Rfam family "Bacterial small subunit ribosomal RNA", at positions 525 to 775 of the family's 1533-position model. The record is from RNAcentral.